RNAcentral lists this unclassified non-coding RNA (306 nucleotides) under plant metagenome. Its description in RNAcentral is "partial contains 5.8S ribosomal RNA, internal transcribed spacer 2, and large subunit ribosomal RNA". The stretch from base 1 to 105 matches the Rfam family "5.8S ribosomal RNA", at positions 50 to 154 of the family's 154-position model. The record is from RNAcentral.
GAAAUGCGAUAAGUAGUGUGAAUUGCAGAAUUCAGUGAAUCAUCGAAUCUUUGAACGCACAUUGCGCCCCUUGGUAUUCCAUGGGGCAUGCCUGUUCGUGCGUCAUCUACACCCUCAAGCUCUGCUUGGUGUUGGGCGUCUUUGUCCCGCCUCCGCGCGCGGACUCGCCCCAAAUUCAUUGGCAGCGGUCCUUGCCUCCUCUCGCGCAGCACAUUGCGCUUCUCGAGGUGUUGCGGCCCGCGUCCAGAAAGCAAUCGUUACCGUCUUUGACCUCGGAUCAGGUAGGGAUACCCGCUGAACUUAAGC